UACGAAGGGUGCAAGCAUUACUCGGAAUUACUGGGCGUAAAGCGUGCGUAGGUGGUUCGUUAAGUCUGUCGUGAAAGCCCCGGGCUCGACCUGGGAAUGGCGAUGGAUACUGGCGGGCUAGAGUGCGGUAGAGGAGAGUGGAAUUCCCGGUGUAGCAGUGAAAUGAGUAGAGAUCGGGAGGAACAUCAGUUGCGAAGGCGGCUCUCUGGAUCAGCACUGACACUGAGGCACGAAAGCGUGGGGAGCAAACAGG
This 253-nucleotide ribosomal RNA is filed under the name uncultured Arenimonas sp. RNAcentral's name for it is "partial 16S ribosomal RNA". It matches the Rfam family "Bacterial small subunit ribosomal RNA", at positions 524 to 776 of the family's 1533-position model. The record is from RNAcentral. Lineage: Bacteria; Pseudomonadati; Pseudomonadota; Gammaproteobacteria; Lysobacterales; Lysobacteraceae.